RNAcentral lists this unclassified non-coding RNA (325 nucleotides) under soil metagenome. RNAcentral's name for it is "partial contains 5.8S ribosomal RNA, internal transcribed spacer 2, and large subunit ribosomal RNA". The stretch from base 1 to 120 matches the Rfam family "5.8S ribosomal RNA", at positions 35 to 154 of the family's 154-position model. The record is from RNAcentral.
GAUGAAGAACGUAGCGAAAUGCGAUAAGUAAUGCGAAUUGUAGAAUUCAGUGAGUCAUCGAAUCUUUGAACGCACAUUGCGCCCUGUGGUAUUCCGCAGGGCAUGCCUGUUCGAGCGUCAUUUCAACCCUCAAGCCCCGCUUGGUGUUGGGCCCCGCCCGCCGUGGCCGGCCCUAAAGACAGUGGCGGCGCCGCCUGGCCCUCAGCGUAGUACAGCUCUCGCUCCAGGGUCCGGCGGCCGCCUGCCAGAACCCCCCCAACUCUGUGGUUGACCUCGGAUCAGGUAGGGAUACCCGCUGAACUUAAGCAUAUCAAUAAGCGGAGGA